RNA transcript from Mus musculus (house mouse), 4253 nucleotides. It is a transcript of the gene named inositol polyphosphate-5-phosphatase E, with no coding region annotated. Lineage: Eukaryota; Metazoa; Chordata; Mammalia; Rodentia; Muridae. The transcript has 10 exons. The record is from RefSeq and is marked validated.
AGUUCUCCGGAAGACUACAGAACGGAACCUGAGCCAGGGUGACCACUAGACUGAGCUGGGGCGAACCCUGGGCGGGGGCGGGGGCCGAGGCACGGGGCCGCAGUCGUUGUUCCAGCUGCCACCGUGACUGGCCUAGGUCCGCCUCCGCCAGCGCUGGGCCCGGCUGAAUCAGACCUCGGGCGUCCGGCGGCGGGUCUGCUGCCGAACGGAGGGCGCAGGUGAGCCUAGGACGCUGAGCGCGCUGCCCUACUCUGCCUCGGCGGGGUGGAGGGCUGGCCGGGGGUGCUGGACAGACUUGUGCAGCUCCGUGAAGUGCAGCCCCGACCCCCUGGCGCCUGUUCUCACGAAGUCGCUUUUAAGACUAGCGAGCUGACUUCGGGGAGCCAAGAGAUUUUUCUGCGUUUCCUCAGGCAUCGGUGAGAACUCUCAAGUCUCCAGCCAUGCAGCUACAGGCCCUCCUCCAAAAGGACCGCCCCAUGCCACAAAGGGAGCCACUCGAGUUUUCAUGGCAUCGAGCUGGCGAACUCUGACGUGCAUCCUUGACAACAAGAGUUGCUUGUUAACCUCCCAGGGAGGAUCCCUUUCCUUAGGAGGGCCAGGCUGAGGGGGUCAGGGCUGGCCAGGUCUGGACUAUGCCAUCCAAGUCAGCUUGCCUGCGUCACACUGAGGCACCUGGGCAGCUAGAAGGCAGAAUGCUCCAGGGACAGCCUCCGAACACGGAAAAGAAGCUCAUCCCAACACCAGGCUUCUUACCAGCCUCUGACUCUCAGGGUUCAGAGACAAACCCCAUGCCUCCUUUCAGCAUUCCAGCAAAAACAAGCAACCAGAACCCACAAACUAAGGCAAAUCUCAUCACCCCACAGCCACCCAUUAGACCCAAGUUGGAGCGAACCCUGUCCCUCGAUGACAAGGGCUGGAGAAGGAGGCGUUUCCGGGGUAGUCAGGAGGAUCUGACUGUCCAGAAUGGGGCCAGUCCCUGCAGGGGCUCCUUGCAAGACUCAGUAGCCCAGUCCCCUGCCUACAGCCGUCCCCUGCCCUGCCUCAGCACAUCCUUGCAGGAGAUACCUAAGUCCCGAAGGGCCACAGGCAGUGAGGGAGGGAGCCCAUCCUUGUGGAGUGACUGUCUUUCUGGAAUGAUCAGCACCUCCUUGGACCUCCUGCACAGAGAUGCUGCCUCAGGUGGGCCCCCCUCCAGGUUGGCAAGUUUGCAUGCCUCACACACACCACCAGCUAUGGACCUCAGCAUAGCCUCCAGCUCCCUGAGAACAGCAAACAAGGUUGACCCCGAGCACACGGACUACAAGCUCCGCAUGCAGACCAGACUGGUCAGGGCCCACAGCAACCUGGGCCCUAGCAGACCCCGGAGCCCCUUGGCUGGUGACGAUCACUCCAUUCACUCAGCCAGAUCUUUCAGCCUUCUGGCCCCCAUCCGCACCAAGGACAUCAGAAGCAGGAGCUAUCUGGAGGGAAGUCUUCUGGCCAGUGGGGCCCUGCUAGGAGCAGAAGAGCUGGCCAGGUACUUCCCAGACCGAAACAUGGCUCUCUUCGUGGCUACCUGGAACAUGCAGGGCCAGAAGGUGAUGGUGCAGGGCCUUGCUCUUGAACCUCUGCUCCCAACCUGAGGGAACCCAGCGGUCUUGACUGUUUUGUGGUCUUCACCACAGGAGCUCCCAGCGAGCCUGGAUGAGUUUCUGCUCCCCACCGAGGCUGACUACACUCAGGACCUGUAUGUCAUUGGAAUUCAGGAGGGCUGCUCUGACAGGCGGGAGUGGGAGACACGCCUGCAGGAGACACUGGGCCCUCAGUAUGUACUGCUGUCAUCAGCAGCACAUGGGGUCCUGUACAUGUCCCUGUUUAUCCGUAGGGACCUCAUCUGGUUCUGCUCAGAGGUCGAGUACUCCACAGUAACUACACGCAUCGUGUCUCAGAUCAAGACCAAGGGGGCCCUGGGCGUCAGCUUCACCUUUUUUGGCACCUCCUUCCUCUUCAUCACAUCUCACUUCACCUCUGGAGAUGGGAAGGUAGCAGAGCGGCUACUGGACUACAGCAGAACCAUCCAAGCCCUAGCCCUGCCCCGGAAUGUGCCAGACACAAAUCCCUACCGCUCUAGUGCAGGGGAUGUCACUACCCGGUUUGAUGAGGUCUUCUGGUUUGGGGACUUCAACUUCCGCCUGAGUGGUGGACGAGUGGCUGUGGAGGCCUUCCUGAAGCAGAAACCUGAGGUGGAUGUGCUGGCUCUCCUCCAACACGACCAGCUCACCCGGGAGAUGAAGAAAGGGUCCAUCUUCAGGGGCUUUGAGGAGGCAGAGAUUCACUUUCUUCCAUCCUACAAGUUUGACAUUGGGAAGGACACCUACGACAGCACCUCCAAGCAAAGGACACCCUCCUACACAGACCGAGUCCUAUACAAAAGCCGUCACAAGGGUGACAUCUGUCCCAUGAAGUAUUCCUCUUGUCCUGGGAUCAAGACUUCAGACCACCGUCCUGUGUAUGGCUUGUUCCAGGUGAAAGUGAGGCCAGGACGAGACAACAUCCCAUUAGCUGCCGGCAAGUUUGACCGAGAAUUGUACUUGAUAGGAAUUAAAAGGCGGAUUUCAAAGGAGAUUCAGAGACAGGAAGCACUGAAGAGCCAGAGCUCCAGUGCAGUUUGCACCGUGUCCUGAAGAUUCCAGACCAGGACUGGCCACAGCAACGGGGGCCAAGGUCACUGCAAAGGAUGGGCUUCUUCUCAGCUGCUCCUGUAAUGCUGGGAUUCUAAUCCACCACGGCCAGGGGCUCCCUGCUCUCACCACAGACCCAGCCCUCAGGACAUUUAUACCAUGUUCCCACAGGCACAUGGCAGGGCAUGUGGACACCAAGCAGCAGUUUUGUCCUCAGGAGUAGUCCAGACUUCUUGCCCUUGAGCACUGCUGUCUCUUCAAACUCCUUUUAUUUAUUCCUGUUCUCAUGCUAGAGCCCAGGUUCUCCAUCUGUAUCCUCCUAGUAGCUCCUUCCCUCCAGGGAAGGAUCAGGCAACCUCUGGUAUCCUAGAUGCUCAAUGCCUAGAACCUGCCAGGACUUCAAUUCUGGGAUAUUCCCUACAGACAUUUUGACAGGCUUUGAGGUUCUACAUCCUGGUCCCAGGCUCCCAACCCCCAGUUGAGUAGGGACCUCUCCACUCUACAGGCCAAGCCUAGCUAUAUUAAACUCAUAGUUUUUAGGAGCUUCAGACCAUUUGCUUUUGUGCUGCUAGUCCCGGAAAGGCAUGAGAAAUUGUUACCAGACAGCACCUUGCUGGGUUUCACUCCUUGAAGAAAGCUUAGGAGCAUCAUUGCUCUCAAUCUUACCCCACCCCUUCAGACAUAGCCUUGAAUGUACAGACACCUAGGGGCAUCCACUCUAGUCUUCUAAAUCAUUUAUUUUUCCAUAUUUAUAUUUUUAAAUAAAUAAGGAUAUAUUCAAUUGUAAACUCUUUCUGGCCAAAGAGUGAACCUUGGAAGAAGUCUGCAUGCAUCUUGGGGCCUCAGGACACCCCAGGGUUUUAAAAGGACAUAGAAGUCAAAGGCCAAACAUUUGGUCUCAGCUGUCACCUGCUACUCAGUCCCAUCCCAGGUCUUUCUGCUAGGUACUGUCCCUGCUCACAGCCAGAAGCAGCAAUAGCUGGAAAAAGUGACGACUUGGGACUCCAGUGAACCAUAAUAAACCAACGAAUAAGGUGAAACUCAACAGCAUCAGCUUCUCCAAUAUGGAAAGUCACCUGCUUCAAUAAACCACUGUGAACUGCAAAUUCUACUGGGAAGACAGCCUUUUCUCUCCCAGACAGGCUGCCCUGGACUUCAUAAUCCUGCCUCAACUAUUCCUGGCUUGAAUAAGGUUUGAUGUGGUAAGAGUUCCAGACAGGUUUCUCUGUAGCCCCGGCUGUCCUGGAACUCUCUGUAGACCAGGCUGGCCUCGAACUUGGAGAACCACCUGCUUCUGCCUCCUGAAUGCUGGGAUUAAAGGCGUGCACUACCACAGCCCAGCAGUUUGGUGCUUCUUUGUGGACAUUCUCUGGCACCUUAGAAAAGACUGAGGUAAUCCUGGAACUUCCCAGUUUGGCCCAAGAUCAAGAUCAUAAAGUCUUAGGGGUCGGGGGGCAAAGUACAGCCAUAGCAAUUUACAUUUAGAUAGCCUUUACAUUUAGAGGGCAUUUCAGUUGGAAAAGUUAAACACGUAAACUAGUGCAGAUGAAGUGGGAAAUUAAAACUGGACUUGUAAAUAAUUGUGAGAUACAA